This 894-nucleotide ribosomal RNA is filed under the name uncultured Bacteroidota bacterium. RNAcentral's name for it is "bacterial SSU rRNA". It matches the Rfam family "Bacterial small subunit ribosomal RNA", at positions 23 to 908 of the family's 1533-position model. Lineage: Bacteria; Pseudomonadati; Bacteroidota. The record is from RNAcentral.
CUCAGGAUGAACGCUAGCUACAGGCUUAACACAUGCAAGUCGAGGGGAAACGAUAGAGAAAGCUUGCUUUUUCUAGGCGUCGACCGGCGCACGGGUGAGUAACGCGUAUCCAACCUGCCCACCACUUGGGAAUAACCUUGCGAAAGUAAGACUAAUACCCAAUGAUAUCUCUAGAAGACAUCUGAAGGAGAUUAAAGAUUUAUCGGUGAUGGAUGGGGAUGCGUCUGAUUAGCUUGUUGGCGGGGUAACGGCCCACCAAGGCGACGAUCAGUAGGGGUUCUGAGAGGAAGGUCCCCCACAUUGGAACUGAGACACGGUCCAAACUCCUACGGGAGGCAGCAGUGAGGAAUAUUGGUCAAUGGGCGAGAGCCUGAACAGCCAAGUAGCGUGCAGGAUGACGGCCCUAUGGGUUGUAAACUGCUUUUAUAAGGGAAUAAAGUGAGAGUCGUGACUCUUUUUGCGUGUACCUUAUGAAUAAGGACCGGCUAAUUCCGUGCCAGCAGCCGCGGUAAUACGGAAGGUCCGGGCGUUAUCCGGAUUUAUUGGGUUUAAAGGGAGCGUAGGCCGGAGAUUAAGCGUGUUGUGAAAUGUAGAUGCUCAACAUCUGCACUGCAGCGCGAACUGGUUUCCUUGAGUACGCACAAAGUGGGCGGAAUUCGUGGUGUAGCGGUGAAAUGCUUAGAUAUCACGAAGAACUCCGAUUGCGAAGGCAGCUCACUGGAGCGCAACUGACGCUGAAGCUCGAAAGUGCGGGUAUCGAACAGGAUUAGAUACCCUGGUAGUCCGCACGGUAAACGAUGGAUGCCCGCUGUUGGUCUGAAUAGGUCAGCGGCCAAGCGAAAGCAUUAAGCAUCCCACCUGGGGAGUACGCCGGCAACGGUGCAACUCAAAGGA